CAAUACGUGAAGUUCUGCGUCUCAUUUUUAAAACUACUAGUCAAAGUAAUAGUAACGAAAAUAAUACGAAUAAAAAAAAACUUUACAACAACGGAUCUCUUGGCUCUCGCAUCGAUGAAGAACGCAGCGAAAUGUGAUAAGUAAUGUGAAUUGCAGAAUUCAGUGAAUCAUCGAAUCUUUGAACGCACCUUGCGCUCCCUGGUAUUCCGGGGAGCAUGUCUGUUUGAGUGUCAUGAACUCUUCAACCCACCAGUUUCUUGUAGACUGAUUGGUGUUUGGAUUUUGAGCGCUGCUGGUCUUCGGAUCUAGCUCGUUCGUAAUAUAUUAGCAUCUCUAAUUCGACUUCGGAUUGACUCAGUGUAAUAGACUAUUCGCUGAGGACACACCUAGUGUGGCCGAACGUUGAUCUCAGUAGAAGCUUCCAACUAUUGUAGUCAAUUUUAGAUUAGACCUCAGAUCAGGCAGGAUUACCCGCUGAACUUAA
Molecule: ribosomal RNA, 484 nt
Filed under: uncultured fungus
Lineage: Eukaryota; Fungi
Description: eukaryotic LSU rRNA
Rfam family: 5.8S ribosomal RNA (bases 80-233)
Source: RNAcentral